Molecule: ribosomal RNA, 485 nt
Filed under: uncultured bacterium
Lineage: Bacteria
Description: partial 16S ribosomal RNA
Rfam family: Bacterial small subunit ribosomal RNA
Source: RNAcentral
AUUGAACGCUGGCGGCAUGCCUUACACAUGCAAGUCGAACGGCAGCACGGGUGCUUGCACCUGGUGGCGAGUGGCGAACGGGUGAGUAAUACAUCGGAACAUGUCCUGUAGUGGGGGAUAGCCCGGCGAAAGCCGGAUUAAUACCGCAUACGAUCUACGGAUGAAAGCGGGGGCCCUUCGGGCCUCGCGCUAUAGGGUUGGCCGAUGGCUGAUUAGCUAGUUGGUGGGGUAAAGGCCUACCAAGGCGACGAUCAGUAGCUGGUCUGAGAGGACGACCAGCCACACUGGGACUGAGACACGGCCCAGACUCCUACGGGAGGCAGCAGGGGGGAAUUUUGGACAAUGGGCGAAAGCCUGAUCAAGCAAUGCCGCGGGUGUGAAGAAGGCCUUCGGGUUGUAAAGCACUUUUGUCCGGAAAGAAAUCCUUGGCCCUAAUACGGUCGGGGGAUGACGGUACCGGAAGAAUAAGCACCGGCGAACUACGG